UAGUGUAGUUAACACCUGCAUUAUUUGACGUUACCUACAGAAGAAGCACCGGCUAACUCCGUGCCAGCAGCCGCGGUAAUACGGAGGGGUGCGAGCGUUAAUCGGAAUUACUGGGCGUAAAGCGCAUGCAGGCGGCCUGUUAAGUCAGAUGUGAAAGCCCGGGGCGUUAACCUCGGAAUUGCAUUUGAAACUGGCAGGCUAGAGUCUUGUAGAGGGGGGUAGGAAUUUCAGGUGUAGCGGUGAAAUGCGUAGAGAUCUGAAGGAAUACCAGUGGCGAAGGCGGCCCCCCUGGACAAAGACUGACGCUCAGAUGCGAAAGCGUGGGGAGCAAACAGGAUUAGAUACCCCUGGUAG
RNAcentral lists this ribosomal RNA (354 nucleotides) under uncultured bacterium. RNAcentral's name for it is "bacterial SSU rRNA". It matches the Rfam family "Bacterial small subunit ribosomal RNA", at positions 445 to 793 of the family's 1533-position model. The record is from RNAcentral.